GCAGUAGGAUAGGCGAAGCGUGCGAUUGGAUUGCACGUCUAAGCAGUAAGGCUGAGUAUUAGGCAAAUCCGGUACUCGUUAAGGCUGAGCUGUGAUGGGGAGAAGACAUUGUGUCUUCGAGUCGUUGAUUUCACACUGCCGAGAAAAGCCUCUAGAUAGAAAAUAGGUGCCCGUACCGCAAACCGACACAGGUAGUCAAGAUGAGAAUUCUAAGGUGAGCGAGCGAACUCUCGUUAAGGAACUCGGCAAAAUGACCCCGUAACUUCGGGAGAAGGGGUGCUCUUUAGGGUUAACGCCCAGAAGAGCCGCAGUGAAUAGGCCCAAGCGACUGUUUAUCAAAAACACAGGUCUCUGCUAAACCGUAAGGUGAUGUAUAGGGGCUGACGCCUGCCCGGUGCUGGAAGGUUAAGAGGAGUGGUUAGCUUCUGCGAAGCUACGAAUCGAAGCCCCAGUAAACGGCGGCCGUAACUAUAACGGUCCUAAGGUAGCGAAAUUCCUUGUCGGGUAAGUUCCGACCCGCACGAAAGGCGUAACGAUUUGGGCACUGUCUCAACGAGAGACUCGGUGAAAUCAUAGUACCUGUGAAGAUGCAGGUUACCCGCGACAGGACGGAAAGACCCCGUGGAGCUUUACUGUAGCCUGAUAUUGAAAUUCGGCACAGCUUGUACAGGAUAGGUAGGAGCCUUUGAAACGUGAGCGCUAGCUUACGUGGAGGCGCUGGUGGGAUACUACCCUAGCUGUGUUGGCUUUCUAACCCGCACCACUUAUCGUGGUGGGAGACAGUGUCAGGCGGGCAGUUUGACUGGGGCGGUCGCCUCCUAAAAGGUAACGGAGGCGCUCAAAGGUUCCCUCAGAAUGGUUGGAAAUCAUUCAUAGAGUGUAAAGGCAUAAGGG
RNAcentral lists this ribosomal RNA (894 nucleotides) under Staphylococcus aureus. RNAcentral's name for it is "partial 23S ribosomal RNA". It matches the Rfam family "Bacterial large subunit ribosomal RNA", at positions 1474 to 2365 of the family's 2925-position model. Lineage: Bacteria; Bacillati; Bacillota; Bacilli; Caryophanales; Staphylococcaceae. The record is from RNAcentral.